This 254-nucleotide ribosomal RNA is filed under the name uncultured bacterium. Its description in RNAcentral is "partial 16S ribosomal RNA". It matches the Rfam family "Bacterial small subunit ribosomal RNA", at positions 524 to 776 of the family's 1533-position model. The record is from RNAcentral.
UACGAAGGGGGCUAGCGUUGCUCGGAAUCACUGGGCGUAAAGCGCACGUAGGCGGGUCCUUAAGUCAGGGGUGAAGUCCCGGAGCUCAACUCCGGAACUGCCUUUGAUACUGGGGAUCUUGAGUCCGGAAGAGGUGAGUGGAACUCCGAGUGUAGAGGUGAAAUUCGUAGAUAUUCGGAAGAACACCAGUGGCGAAGGCGGCUCACUGGUCCGGUACUGGACGCUGAGGUGCGAAAGCGUGGGGAGCAAACAGG